Molecule: transfer RNA, 72 nt
Filed under: Minisyncoccota bacterium
Lineage: Bacteria; Bacillati; Minisyncoccota
Description: tRNA-Thr
Rfam family: tRNA
About the family: Transfer RNA (tRNA) molecules are approximately 80 nucleotides in length. Their secondary structure includes four short double-helical elements and three loops (D, anti-codon, and T loops).
Source: RNAcentral
GGGAAGGUGGCUGAGUGGCUGAAAGCAGCGGUUUAGUAAACCGCUGCUUUCAGCCACUCAGCCACCUUCCCA